UAUAAUUCAAAUGAUUAAUCAAAAUAAUCAAAUAGAUUGAUUAUUUUCAAAAAUUAUUUACUUGUUCCAUAAAAUGUAAAAAAAAAGAUUAAAAAAAUAGCUCUAAUUAAGACUUUUGUUGUACUCUUUUUGGACUAAAAAUACAUUAAAUGAAUAAAAAUGAUUAUUUUAAAAUAUUCCUAAAAUAAAUUUAGAUUUAAAUAAUAAAAAAACAAUUUAUAAUUUUUGAAUAAAA
RNAcentral lists this long non-coding RNA (235 nucleotides) under Lathyrus oleraceus (garden pea). RNAcentral's name for it is "Pisum sativum (pea) long non-coding RNA (PSAT_LNC014687)". The record is from RNAcentral. Lineage: Eukaryota; Viridiplantae; Streptophyta; Magnoliopsida; Fabales; Fabaceae.